GAUGAACGCUGGCGGCGUGCCUAAUACAUGCAAGUAGAACGCUGAAGGAGGAGCUUGCUUCUCUGGAUGAGUUGCGAACGGGUGAGUAACGCGUAGGUAACCUGCCUGGUAGCGGGGGAUAACUAUUGGAAACGAUAGCUAAUACCGCAUAAUAGUAGAUGUUGCAUGACAUUUGCUUAAAAAGUGCAAUUGCAUCACUACUAGAUGGACCUGCGUUGUAUUAGGUAGUUGGUGAGGUAACGGCUCACCAAGGCAACGAUACAUAGCCGACCUGAGAGGGGGGACGGCCAAAAUGGGACCGAGACACGGCCCAGAACUCCAACGGAGGGCGCAGUAGGGGAUCUUUGGGAAUGGACGGAAGUCUGAACGAGCAACGGCGCGUGAGUGAAGAAGGGUCUCGGAUCGUAAAGAUCCGUUGUAAGAGAAGAAAGAGUGUGAGAGUGGACAGUUCACACUGUGACGGUAUCUUAUCAGAAAGGGACGGCUAACUACGUG
RNAcentral lists this ribosomal RNA (495 nucleotides) under uncultured bacterium. RNAcentral's name for it is "partial 16S ribosomal RNA". It matches the Rfam family "Bacterial small subunit ribosomal RNA", at positions 28 to 507 of the family's 1533-position model. The record is from RNAcentral.